RNAcentral lists this ribosomal RNA (427 nucleotides) under uncultured prokaryote. Its description in RNAcentral is "bacterial SSU rRNA". It matches the Rfam family "Bacterial small subunit ribosomal RNA", at positions 355 to 774 of the family's 1533-position model. The record is from RNAcentral.
UGGGGAAUUUUGGACAAUGGGCGAAAGCCUGAUCCAGCCAUGCCGCGUGAGUGAAGAAGGCCUUCGGGUUGUAAAGCUCUUUCGCGAGGGAAGAAAACGUAUUCGCUAAUACCGGAUGCGGAUGACGGUACCUUGAUAAGAAGCACCGGCUAACUACGUGCCAGCAGCCGCGGUAAUACGUAGGGUGCGAGCGUUAAUCGGAAUUACUGGGCGUAAAGCGUGCGCAGGCGGUUUUGUAAGACAGGCGUGAAAUCCCCGGGCUCAACCUGGGAAUGGCGCUUGUGACUGCAAGGCUUGAGUAUGGCAGAGGGGGGUAGAAUUCCACGUGUAGCAGUGAAAUGCGUAGAGAUGUGGAGGAAUACCGAUGGCGAAGGCAGCCCCCUGGGUCAAUACUGACGCUCAUGCACGAAAGCGUGGGGAGCAAACA